Molecule: small nucleolar RNA, 139 nt
Organism: Pipistrellus kuhlii (Kuhl's pipistrelle)
Lineage: Eukaryota; Metazoa; Chordata; Mammalia; Chiroptera; Vespertilionidae
Product: small nucleolar RNA SNORA44
Exons: 1
Source: RefSeq, a predicted model, not a curated record
UAGUAUUGCCCAAAGGACUCUUAAGAAAAUAUAAUGUGUAGCCAUGGGAUUUCCAACUGUACUCACGAGCAACCUGGAGAGAACAUGACAGCUCAGGACAGCACAAUACCUGCACCUGUCACUCACCUUUCCUAUAAGA